UGACUCCAGCAUAUUCUUACCAUGAAUUUGCCUAACAUACACGGGAAUAAAAGACAAGAAGGUGGAGAAGUUGGGGGUACUCUAGAGCCAGACCUGAUCCUGUGCAGGCUGAUUUGGGGGGAUUGCAGAGGCAAAGCUAGACUAGGUCUUGGAAGCUGGUGUAAGGCGGUGCGCGGAAGGCAGGACGCUGAUGGGAGAGACUGGUCGAAGAAAAGCCGAAAUGGAUUCUCCGUGCCUUGGAUGGAGAAAGAGGGGGGAAGUGCGAGCUCCUUCAACUCGUUCUGUCCGGUGAGGAGUGAUCCAGCUUGGGCUGACGAGAGGCUCCGGAGCCUUCACGUUCAGUGCUUUUUACCUGCCAAUCAAACUGCUACAAGACAACACCCUGAUCUGGCAUGGUCGCGCGCAUCGAACCUAGAAAUUGUACUCUCCUCAAUCCGCUUAAGAGAAUCUGGCUGAUGGCUUUGGUCUGAGAGUUCAGACAUCUCUUGUGCAGCUAAGAAAGACCUCAUUUUCCAUUUGCUGGAUCCUCCUGGUUUGUCAUCCCUGAAUCCUGUAAGAAGGUCAUCAGGAGGUCCCCUGCGCUAGAAGGACCAUGUGAGUUCAUCCCAGAUGAUGGGUGGCACCAUGGUUUUAGCAGCUCACACAGUGGAGAACCACAUUCGCUCUGGAAGAGCUUGGCAACAUGUAUUUGGUAACAGAACAAGGUCAGCUUGAGCUCUAUCCUUCUG
This 728-nucleotide long non-coding RNA is filed under the name Mus caroli (Ryukyu mouse). RNAcentral describes it as "lncRNA (MGP_CAROLIEiJ_G0013631.1)". The stretch from base 129 to 400 matches the Rfam family "SOX2 overlapping transcript exon 3". Lineage: Eukaryota; Metazoa; Chordata; Mammalia; Rodentia; Muridae. The record is from RNAcentral.